RNAcentral lists this transfer RNA (84 nucleotides) under Phycisphaerae bacterium. RNAcentral describes it as "tRNA-Leu". It matches the Rfam family "tRNA". From Rfam's summary of the family: Transfer RNA (tRNA) molecules are approximately 80 nucleotides in length. Lineage: Bacteria; Pseudomonadati; Planctomycetota; Phycisphaerae. The record is from RNAcentral.
GCGGCCGUGGCGGAAUUGGCAGACGCGCAGGCUUCAGGUGCCUGUGUCCGUAAGGACGUGGUGGUUCGAAUCCACUCGGCCGCA